GACGAACGUUGGCGGUGCGCUUUAUACAUGCAAGUCGUGCGCGAAAGGCCCCUUCGGGGGCCGAGUAGAGCGGCGGACGGGUGCGUAACGCGUGAGCAACCUGCCCUGGAGUGGGGAAUAACUCCGAGAAAUCGGGGCUAAUACCGCAUGAUGUCGCAGCUCCGCAUGAAGCUGCGCUUAAAGUCGGCCUCUGCUUGCAAGCUGGCGCUCCAGGAUGGGCNCGCGGCCUAUUAGCUAGUUGGCGGGGUAAUGGCCCACCAAGGCUACGAUGGGUAGGGGCGUGAGAGCGUGGCCCCCACA
RNAcentral lists this ribosomal RNA (300 nucleotides) under uncultured bacterium. RNAcentral's name for it is "bacterial SSU rRNA". It matches the Rfam family "Bacterial small subunit ribosomal RNA", at positions 28 to 312 of the family's 1533-position model. The record is from RNAcentral.